RNAcentral lists this ribosomal RNA (253 nucleotides) under uncultured bacterium. RNAcentral describes it as "partial 16S ribosomal RNA". It matches the Rfam family "Bacterial small subunit ribosomal RNA", at positions 524 to 776 of the family's 1533-position model. The record is from RNAcentral.
GACGUAGGGCGCGAGCGUUGUCCGGAUUUAUUGGGCGUAAAGAGCUCGUAGGCGGUUUGUCGCGUCUGCUGUGAAAUCCCGAGGCUCAACCUCGGGUCUGCAGUGGGUACGGGCAGACUGGAGUGCGGUAGGGGAGAAUGGAGUUCCUGGUGUAGCGGUGGAAUGCGCAGAUAUCAGGAGGAACACCGAUGGCGAAGGCAGUUCUCUGGGCUGACACUGACGCUCAUGCACGAAAGCGUGGGGAGCAAACAGG